AGCGAACGCUGGCGGCAGGCUUAACACAUGCAAGUCGAGCGGGCAUCCUUGUGGUGUCAGCGGCAGACGGGUGAGUAACGCGUGGGAACGUGCCCUUCGGUUCGGAAUAACUCAGGGAAACUUGAGCUAAUACCGGAUACGUGCGAGAGCAGAAAGGUUUAUCUGCCGAAGGAUCGGCCCGCGUCUGAUUAGCUAGUUGGUGAGGUUAUGGCUCACCAAGGCGACGUUCAGUAGCUGGUCUGAGAGGAUGAUCAGCCACACUGGGACUGAGACACGGCCCAGACUCCUACGGGAGGCAGCAGUGGGGAAUAUUGGACAAUGGGGGCAACCCUGAUCCAGCCAUGCCGCGUGAGUGAUGACGGCCUUAGGGUUGUAAAGCUCUUUUCUCCGGGACGAUAAUGACGGUACCGGAGGAAUAAGCCCCGGCUAACUUCGUG
This 437-nucleotide ribosomal RNA is filed under the name uncultured bacterium. RNAcentral's name for it is "partial 16S ribosomal RNA". It matches the Rfam family "Bacterial small subunit ribosomal RNA", at positions 29 to 507 of the family's 1533-position model. The record is from RNAcentral.